GCCCGCAUGGCUCAGUGGUAGAGCGUCUCACUCGUAAUGAGAAGAUCCUUCGUUCGAUCCGGAGUGUGGGCA
Molecule: transfer RNA, 72 nt
Filed under: Eutypa lata UCREL1
Lineage: Eukaryota; Fungi; Ascomycota; Sordariomycetes; Xylariales; Diatrypaceae
Description: tRNA-Thr (CGT) (tRNA-Thr-CGT-1-1, tRNA-Thr-CGT-1-2)
Rfam family: tRNA
About the family: Transfer RNA (tRNA) molecules are approximately 80 nucleotides in length. Their secondary structure includes four short double-helical elements and three loops (D, anti-codon, and T loops).
Source: RNAcentral